Molecule: long non-coding RNA, 778 nt
Organism: Caretta caretta (loggerhead turtle)
Lineage: Eukaryota; Metazoa; Chordata; Testudines; Cheloniidae
Source: RefSeq, a predicted model, not a curated record
GGCGAACUGCUCGGUGCCGGCGGUGUCCAGGAUCUCCAGCACGGAGGGGGACGAGUCCACCUCGAUCUCCUUGCGGUAGAAGUCCUCGAUGGUGGGGUCGUACUUCUCGAUGAAGGAGCUGUCCUGGAAGACACAAACUCAAGAGACGCUAGGUGUCAGUAAAGGAUUUAAAAAAAAAAGCAACUGAAGGCUGAAAAUCUGCAGAAAUGACCUUCCACAAGACUGCAAAUUACAGUAUUAGCCAUUGUUUGGCAAUCAGUGGGAUUUCCCAGACAAAGCACUUCUCCUGUACAUGUUGUUAUGAAAGUACGAUUGUACUCUUCCAUCCCACCGAGGAAUUGACUGGAAAAUCACAAAUAACUGCCACUUCCACGUUUAACCAAAACUCUGUCCCUUUUUCACACAUUCAAAUGUUGUCUUGGGCUAAAGGUUUCUAGCAUUCAGAGAAGAAUCCUUUUACUACAUCAACACACGAUUUUGUUUGUUUCUGGACACUAGAAAGCUCUGCUGGACAAUAGCUAAAGAGUGGGCCUUCGACCCUAUGGAACAUGCAGGUUCUAUCUCUUUCCUCUACCCUUUGUCUGUCUUGUCUAUUUGACUGUGAGCUCUCUGGGGCAGAGACUGUCUAUUACUCUAUGUUUGUACAGCACCUAUCACAAUGGGGUUUGUUCUUGGUCAGUUCCUAUGAAGAACAGGAGAGUGUUCUCCUGUCAAUUAAAAAACCAGCAAUUAAACUGUCCUGAUGAUGGCCAUGCUCCAUGGUCACAGUGCAUAAGUA